This 72-nucleotide transfer RNA is filed under the name Diabrotica virgifera virgifera (western corn rootworm). Its description in RNAcentral is "transfer RNA serine (anticodon GGA)". It matches the Rfam family "tRNA". From Rfam's summary of the family: Transfer RNA (tRNA) molecules are approximately 80 nucleotides in length. The record is from Rfam by way of RNAcentral. Lineage: Eukaryota; Metazoa; Arthropoda; Insecta; Coleoptera; Chrysomelidae.
GGUAGUAUAGCUCAGUGGUAGAGCGUUCGACUGGAGAUCGAGAGGUCCCCGGUUCGAAUCCGUGUGCUUUCU